This 197-nucleotide unclassified non-coding RNA is filed under the name fungal sp. RNAcentral describes it as "partial internal transcribed spacer region". The stretch from base 1 to 46 matches the Rfam family "Eukaryotic small subunit ribosomal RNA", at positions 1786 to 1831 of the family's 1831-position model. The record is from RNAcentral. Lineage: Eukaryota; Fungi.
AAGUCGUAACAAGGUUUCCGUAGGUGAACCUGCGGAAGGAUCAUUAUUUGAUCUAAAAUCGGAGGUAUUUGCAAAAAUAUCGCCUUUUUGCUUUGUGAACUGUAUUGUACUGUUGUAUUUUUUUUUUAAAAAGUUGUUGCUUUCUUCGGAAAGCAGAAAUUUAAAGACAACUUUCAGCAAUGGAUCUCUUGGCUCUU